GUGCCAGCAGCCGCGGUAAUACAGAGGUCCCAAGCGUUGUUCGGAUUCACUGGGCGUAAAGGGUGCGUAGGCGGUCGGGUAAGUCUGACGUGAAAUCUUCAAGCUCAACUUGGAAACUGCGUCGGAUACUAUUCGGCUAGAGGAAUGGAGGGGAGACUGGAAUACUUGGUGUAGCAGUGAAAUGCGUAGAUAUCAAGUGGAACACCAGUGGCGAAGGCGAGUCUCUGGACAUUUCCUGACGCUGAGGCACGAAAGCCAGGGGAGCAAACGGGAUUAGAUACCCCGGUAGUCC
RNAcentral lists this ribosomal RNA (292 nucleotides) under uncultured bacterium. RNAcentral describes it as "partial 16S ribosomal RNA". It matches the Rfam family "Bacterial small subunit ribosomal RNA", at positions 505 to 796 of the family's 1533-position model. The record is from RNAcentral.